Molecule: ribosomal RNA, 486 nt
Filed under: uncultured Muriicola sp.
Lineage: Bacteria; Pseudomonadati; Bacteroidota; Flavobacteriia; Flavobacteriales; Flavobacteriaceae
Description: bacterial SSU rRNA
Rfam family: Bacterial small subunit ribosomal RNA
Source: RNAcentral
GAUGAACGCUAGCGGCAGGCCUAACACAUGCAAGUCGAACGGUAACAGGGAAAAGCUUGCUUUUCCGCUGACGAGUGGCGCACGGGUGCGCAACGCGUAUAGAACCUACCCUGUACAGGGGGAUAGCCCGGAGAAAUCCGGAUUAAUACCCCGUGGUAAUUAGAAUUGGCAUCGAUUUUAAUUUAAAGCUUCGGCGGUACGGGAUGGCUAUGCGUCCUAUUAGCUAGAUGGUAAGGUAACGGCUUACCAUGGCUAUGAUAGGUAGGGGCCCUGAGAGGGGGAUCCCCCACACUGGUACUGAGACACGGACCAGACUCCUACGGGAGGCAGCAGUGAGGAAUAUUGGACAAUGGGCUCACGCCUGAUCCAGCCAUGCCGCGUGCAGGAAGACAGCCCUAUGGGUUGUAAACUGCUUUUAUACGGGAAGAAUAAUCACGACGUGUCGUGAGAUGACGGUACCGUAAGAAUAAGGACCGGCUAACUCCG